GGGAACUACGAGCCAAGCUUAAAACCCAAAGGACUUGACGGUACCCCAUAUCCCCCUAGAGGAGCCUGUCCUAUAAUCGAUAACCCCCGUUUUACCUCACCAUUUCUAGCAACUCAGCCUGUAUACCUCCGUCGUCAGCUUACCCCGUGAGCGCUAGUGAGCUCAAUGUUUUUUCAACUAAACGUCAGGUCAAGGUGCAACAUAUGAAGUGGGAAGAGAUGGGCUACACUUUCUAAAAUAGAUCACACGGAAGACUAACUAUGAAAUCUAGUCAGAAG
RNAcentral lists this ribosomal RNA (278 nucleotides) under Ranitomeya summersi. Its description in RNAcentral is "partial 12S ribosomal RNA". It matches the Rfam family "Bacterial small subunit ribosomal RNA", at positions 875 to 1287 of the family's 1533-position model. The record is from RNAcentral. Lineage: Eukaryota; Metazoa; Chordata; Amphibia; Anura; Dendrobatidae.